RNAcentral lists this ribosomal RNA (255 nucleotides) under uncultured bacterium. RNAcentral's name for it is "partial 16S ribosomal RNA". It matches the Rfam family "Bacterial small subunit ribosomal RNA", at positions 74 to 334 of the family's 1533-position model. The record is from RNAcentral.
CAAACCAAAGCUGGCGACCGGCGCACGGGUGAGUAACACGUAUCCAACCUGCCUCAUACUCGGGGAUAGCCUUUCGAAAGAAAGAUUAAUAUCCGAUAGCAUAUAUUUCCCGCAUGGGUUUUAUAUUAAAGAAGUUCGGUAUGAGAUGGGGAUGCGUUCCAUUAGUUUGUUGGGGGGGUAACGGCCCACCAAGACUACGAUGGAUAGGGGUUCUGAGAGGAAGGUCCCCCACAUUGGAACUGAGACACGGUCCAA